Molecule: ribosomal RNA, 240 nt
Filed under: uncultured bacterium
Lineage: Bacteria
Description: partial 16S ribosomal RNA
Rfam family: Bacterial small subunit ribosomal RNA
Source: RNAcentral
UGGGUAACCUGCCUCAAAGAGGGGAAUAGCCUCCCGAAAGGGAGAUUAAUACCGCAUAAUAUGUUUAAGUCGCAUGACUUUAACAUCAAAGGAUUUUCUUUUAGAAAAUUCCACUUUGAGAUGGACCCGCGGCGCAUUAGCUAGUUGGUGAGGUAACGGCUCACCAAGGCAACGAUGCGUAGCCGACCUGAGAGGUGAUCGGCCACAUGGAACUGAGACACGGUCCAGACUCCGUAGGAG